AGCAGCCGCGGUAAUUCCAGCUCCAAUAGCGUAUAUUAAAGUUGUUGCAGUUAAAAAGCUCGUAGUUGAAUUUCAGGCCUGGCUGGACGGUCCGCCCUUCGGGCGAGUACUGUCUGUGGUCGGGUCCUACCUUCUGGCGAAGCGUCAUGGCCUUAACCAGCCGUGGCGGGGAACCAGGACUUUUACUGUGAAAAAAUUAGAGUGUUCAAAGCAGGCAAUCGCUUGGAUACAUUAGCAUGGAAUAAUGGAAUAGGACGAUGGUUCUAUUUGUUGGUUUCUAGGACCGUUGUAAUGAUUAAUAGGGAUAGUUGGGGGCAUUAGUAUUCAAUUGUCAGAGGUGAAAUUCUUGGAUUUAUUGAAGACUAACUACUGCGAAAGCAUUUUGCCAAAGGAUGUUUUCAUUAAUCAAGAACGAAAGUUAGGGGAUCGAAGACGAUCAGAUACCGUCGUAGUCUUAACCAUAAACUAUGCCGACUAGGAAUCGGGCGAUGUUGACAAAAAUGACGCGCUCGGCACCUCA
Molecule: ribosomal RNA, 520 nt
Filed under: uncultured Paraglomus
Lineage: Eukaryota; Fungi; Glomeromycota; Glomeromycetes; Paraglomerales; Paraglomeraceae
Description: SSU rRNA
Rfam family: Eukaryotic small subunit ribosomal RNA
Source: RNAcentral